GCUCGAAGGCCCCCGUGGAGGAGAAGUAAACAGAAAUGUUCAUAAAUAAUCAUUAGCUAGCAUUGGCACUAUUAAUUUGCUUUUUUUUUUUACAGUGAUCACUACACCAUGGCAGAUGGUGGCGAGUUGGAUAACUAUAUUAUAAUCUAUCCUACUGCCAGUAUGAUUUUUUCUUGCUUGAUGUGAAUUUUAUCGGUGUUUUAAAAGGCAAUCUAGCUACUAUAGCUAGCUAUGUCAAGGGGAUUUAUUAUGCUAUUUAAAUUGUAGUUAAUUGUUUUCCAGCAGCUAGGUCGAUUGCUAUUCAUGUUAUGCUUGUAAAUGAUUAGCUAGUUAUGUUGUACUGUUAUUCAAUCAAUUGUAGCAUUACUAACUAAAUCUCACUUAGCGACUGAAUUGUUGUUGAGAGAUUCAGCAAGGUAAUGUAAAACCAAACAAGUAGGGUGUUAUUUUUGGGUCGCAGCUGCUGGAAAUUCAAAGUUUGGGGGAGGAGAGAUACAGUGAGAAUAGAGAUUGAUGUGUGUGUGCACCAUUGAUAGUAAAAUAAUGUGCGUGCAUGAGAGAUCCUGUGCGCACUUGUCUGUGGUCAAAGGGCAGCUAUAACAGUUUCUCCCACUGAGACAAGAUACUACUGAGUCAGCAGGUCAACCCAGGACACAUGAGACGUGCAUUGGAUGAGCUGUUGAAGGAGACCAAUAGGGCUGGGUGCAAGCAGAAACCAUGGGUCCAGCAGGCUGGAUGAAGUAUCCGCUGCGCAGCACUAACAAGCGUUUCCUGCUCAACACCGUUCCACAGCGCCGCCCUGCUGGCCACUCAGGAGAACAGACAUCAAAUAGUAGGGGGCAGGACACCACCCAGAGACAAUUGGGAAUACAAAGACCACAGGGGACACAGGGACAAAGACAAUCAUAGAGACAGCCGAGAACUUUUGUCUCUUUUGUGUCCAUCUUUAAGACUAAGAUAGCAACACAGGCCAAGACAGCUACAAA
Long non-coding RNA from Salvelinus sp. IW2-2015, 986 nucleotides. RefSeq lists it as uncharacterized. The record is from RefSeq and is a predicted model, not a curated record. Lineage: Eukaryota; Metazoa; Chordata; Actinopteri; Salmoniformes; Salmonidae.